GUGGGGAAUCUUGCGCAAUGGGCGAAAGCCUGACGCAGCCAUGCCGCGUGAAUGAUGAAGGUCUUAGGAUUGUAAAAUUCUUUCACCGGGGACGAUAAUGACGGUACCCGGAGAAGAAGCCCCGGCUAACUUCGUGCCAGCAGCCGCGGUAAUACGAAGGGGGCUAGCGUUGCUCGAAAUUACUGGGCGUAAAGGGCGCGUAGGCGGACAGUUUAGUCAGAGGUGAAAGCCCAGGGCUCAACCUUGGAAUUGCCUUUGAUACUGGCUGUCUUGAGUUUGGGAGAGGUGAGUGGAACUCCGAGUGUAGAGGUGAAAUUCGUAGAUAUUCGGAAGAACACCAGUGGCGAAGGCGACUCACUGGCCCAAUACUGACGCUGAGGCGCGAAAGCGUGGGGAGCAAACAGGAUUAGAUACCCCUGUAGUCC
RNAcentral lists this ribosomal RNA (425 nucleotides) under uncultured bacterium. RNAcentral's name for it is "partial 16S ribosomal RNA". It matches the Rfam family "Bacterial small subunit ribosomal RNA", at positions 354 to 796 of the family's 1533-position model. The record is from RNAcentral.